AGUGAACGCUGGCGGUAGGCCUAACACAUGCAAGUCGAACGGCAGCACAGUAAGAGCUUGCUCUUACGGGUGGCGAGUGGCGGACGGGUGAGGAAUACAUCGGAAUCUACUUUUUCGUGGGGGAUAACGUAGGGAAACUUACGCUAAUACCGCAUACGACCUACGGGUGAAAGCAGGGGAUCUUCGGACCUUGCGCGAUUGAAUGAGCCGAUGUCGGAUUAGCUAGUUGGCGGGGUAAAGGCCCACCAAGGCGACGAUCCGUAGCUGGUCUGAGAGGAUGAUCAGCCACACUGGAACUGAGACACGGUCCAGACUCCCACGGGAGGCAGCAGUGGGGAAUAUUGGACAAUGGGCGCAAGCCUGAUCCAGCCAUACCGCGUGGGUGAAGAAGGCCUUCGGGUUGUAAAGCCCUUUUGUUGGGAAAGAAAAGCAGCAGGUUAAUACCCCGCUGUUCUGACGGUACCCAAAGAAUAAGCACCGGCUAACUCCGUG
RNAcentral lists this ribosomal RNA (492 nucleotides) under uncultured bacterium. Its description in RNAcentral is "partial 16S ribosomal RNA". It matches the Rfam family "Bacterial small subunit ribosomal RNA", at positions 29 to 507 of the family's 1533-position model. The record is from RNAcentral.